RNAcentral lists this ribosomal RNA (271 nucleotides) under uncultured bacterium. Its description in RNAcentral is "partial 16S ribosomal RNA". It matches the Rfam family "Bacterial small subunit ribosomal RNA", at positions 29 to 301 of the family's 1533-position model. The record is from RNAcentral.
AAUGAACGUUGGCGGCGUGGAUUAGGCAUGCAAGUCGAGCGAGAACCCCGCAAGGGGGGACAGCGGCAAACGGGGUAGUAACGGGUAGGUGACGUACCCUCGGGUUGGGGAUAGCCACGGGAAACUGUGGGUAAUAACCCAAUAAUCUCCGCAUUCGUGAUGGAUGUGGAGCAAAGGUGUGAUUCCACCUGAGGAGCGGCCUGCUUCGUAUUAGCUAGUUGGUGAGGUAACGGCUCACCAAGGCGACGAUGCGUAGGGGGUGUGAGAGCAU